Non-coding RNA from Camellia sinensis, 618 nucleotides. The record is from RefSeq and is a predicted model, not a curated record. Lineage: Eukaryota; Viridiplantae; Streptophyta; Magnoliopsida; Ericales; Theaceae.
CGACUGGAGUUGAAUUGCUUGGUUUUGUUUUGAAGUCAGAAAACCCUUUUUUUCCCUCUCAGAUUUUUGCUUCUCAAAUGUCUCCAUGGUUUUGUAUUUUACUGGUGUUUGCAGUGAAGUUGCCUGAGUUGAUGGCAUAUGUAAACAUUGAAGAGAAGACGUUGGUCCGCUUGCAGCAGAAAUUACUUGACUUUCUCAAGUUUCUGCAGAAGAAUUAGGGCACUUUCUUCCUUUAUGCUUAUGACGCCUCUAAAGUUUCCGAAGGGAGUGGCAAGGGGAAAGAUAAUUGAGCAGCAACUUCUGUUCCACCAACAAUGCGAUCAUACUUGCUACUGUCUCAAGGCAAAAGCAUUUUGUAGAAUUGCUUGACGGUGCUGCUGGCUUGUCUAAUUCUGUUUUGAUGAUCCAACAAGAUAAAUACUUCAUUUGUUGAUGUAACAUUAUUGCUUUAUAAUUUGUUUUAGUUGACAUUGAUUCAACGCUUUAUAGAAUGAAGAGAGCUACUUGGUGUAUUAGCUAAGUGUUCUAUACUUGUUUGUAAACAUUUGGUGAGUUGUUUGUUAUGUAUGUGUCCAAUACAUCAUGAAGAAAAGUUAUCCAAACAGAAGGUUAACAAAA